CUUCUACCUUUCUUUUCUGUAGGAACCUUAAGUUUUGCCACAGUCUGAGUAUGGACGCUUCUGCUGAAUGUUUUAGCUGUGAAUGCAGAAAAGGAAAAUUUUGUGCAACGCACAAAUUAUGGAGUUACUUUUGUUAAAGAGGCGGAUAUAGUCUUUGGAAGCAAACACUGGUUCCACACGUUCAAGAUUUCUAUUCAACACAAGAUUCAUAAAUUUUCCUAUCCAUCCUGUGAUAUUAUUCAUUAAAACUGCUUCAUUCUUAAUCAAGUCAUUUCACAUUUGUCCGCAUUGAAAACAGACGUCGCAUCAAAUGUUAACAGUACUGUGGAAAUAAUUCAUAAGCUGAUUCCAAAAGCGGAUUUCAAAAUUAAUACAACAAGUACACAAAGUAGGAGUAAAAGAGGAUUGUUCAAUUUCGUCGGAUCCAUUUCCAGAUCUCUAUUCGGCACAGCAACAGUGAAAGACGUUCAAAAGUUAGCCAGACAUGUAAACAUUCUAAUAAACAGGAGUAAUAAAUUUGCUAA
RNAcentral lists this long non-coding RNA (524 nucleotides) under Mytilus galloprovincialis (Mediterranean mussel). Lineage: Eukaryota; Metazoa; Mollusca; Bivalvia; Mytilida; Mytilidae. The record is from RNAcentral.